This 253-nucleotide ribosomal RNA is filed under the name uncultured bacterium. RNAcentral's name for it is "partial 16S ribosomal RNA". It matches the Rfam family "Bacterial small subunit ribosomal RNA", at positions 524 to 776 of the family's 1533-position model. The record is from RNAcentral.
UACGUAGGGGGCGAGCGUUGUCCGGAGUUACUGGGCGUAAAGCGCACGCAGGCGGUUUCGUACGUCUGGAGUGACAGUUCCCGGCUCAACUGGGAAAGGUCUUCGGAAACGGCGAGACUUGAGGGCUUCAGAGGGACACGGAAUUCCGGGUGGAGUGGUGAAAUGCGUAGAGAUCCGGAGGAACACCAAUGGCGGAGGCAGUGUCCUGGGAAGCAUCUGACGCUCAGGUGCGAAAGCUAGGGGAGCGAACAGG